Molecule: ribosomal RNA, 547 nt
Filed under: uncultured bacterium
Lineage: Bacteria
Description: bacterial SSU rRNA
Rfam family: Bacterial small subunit ribosomal RNA
Source: RNAcentral
CCAGACUCCUAUGGGAGGCAGCAGUGGGGAAUCUUGCACAAUGGGGGAAACCCUGAUGCAGCGACGCCGCGUGAGCGAUGAAGCCCUUCGGGGUGUAAAGCUCUUUCGGCAGGGAAGAUGGUGACGGUACCUGCAGAAGCAGCUGCGGCUAACUACGUGCCAGCAGCCGCGGUAAUACGUAGGCAGCAAGCGUUGUUCGGAGUUACUGGGCGUAAAGGGUGUGUAGGCGGUUGUUUAAGUUUGGUGUGAAAUCUCCCGGCUCAACUGGGAGGGUGCGCCGAAUACUGAAUGACUAGAGUGCGGGAGAGGAAAGUGGAAUUCCUGGUGUAGCGGUGAAAUGCGUAGAUAUCAGGAGGAACACCGGUGGUGUAGACGGCUUUCUGGACCGUAACUGACGCUGAGACACGAAAGUGUGGGUAGCAAACAGGAUUAGAUACCCUGGUAGUCCACGCCCUAAACGAUGCAUAUUUGGUGUGGGCAGUUCAUUCUGUCUGUGCCGGAGCUAACGCGUUAAAUAUGCCGCCUGGGGAGUACAGUCGCAAGGCUG